AUUUUAUAUUUUGAAAAUGAAUUCACGUGCGUAGAAAAUGUAUUUUAUCCUUUAAAAAUGUAGCUCUUGAAUAAUUUCAGUUUCACUUCUACAAUUCCGUUUUUUGGGACUUACAUCCAGUUCCGGUUCCAGAGUAAUCAAGCGCAGAUUAAUAGAACUCUGUUUUGCCAGUGGACCGAAAGUGUUACUGACGGGAAUCUACAGCAUCUUGAGCUGGAGCUGGAUUAAGAUCUCAGAAGUCAUUCAUCAUGUCGCAUGACCAGUGGAUAAACUCUCAGGCUGGCUAAAGUUGUCAGGUCAUCAAGGCAUCUCCUAAAUCAACCAGCUUGUUCUUUACAUGCCACCGUCAGACAUCAGCAGCAUCGGGUUUCCUGUCUGACAGCAGUGUAGUGGCUGAGGAAGGCCGAGGUUCAUGCUCAGCUGGUGCUCCUCUACGAGACUCUCCAGUUCAAGGGCUGCUGGGAGCACUGGCUUGAUAUCAGGCUGUUCUACAGCAGGACCACUUCCAGGAGACUUCCUCUGAUACUGGGACUGUUGAACAUCCUCAUAAUCACUCCCAUGACAGCAGCUGAAGCUCAGAGGUGUUUCUCCACCUUAAAGAGAAGCAGACGUUCCUGUGAGAUGCAGGACGGGAACGUCUGAACGCCGUUGCCAUGCUUUCAUGGAGAGGAGCUACCUCCUUUCUACCUCCUUACACGUUUACUUUCUCCUCUUCCUUUACUCCUUCAUUGUCUCCUCUGUCCUCCCUUUCUCCUUUUCCACUUCCUGUUCUCUCCUUUCCUCGCUCCCUCUAUGUCACCUCCUCGUGUCCUUUCUUCUCCUUCCUCUCACCUCCUCCUUCAAUCACACUUCCUUCCAUCAGUCCCUUGUCUCCUCCUUCCUUGUCCUUCUCUCCUUCCUCAGAGUCUUCCUCGAUGAGAUAAGCCGAUUUUUCCUGUUUAUUGUGAACAUGAAAUAUUAGAUUUACGUGUUUAUUUCACUGACACUUUUUCAUCUCACAUUUUUAAAUUUUUAGACCAUUUUAAAUAUAGUUUUAAAAUAACAUUUAAUUUCGUGUUUAUUGAAAAUCCCAGCCAGUGAUUUAAUGUUAUUAAACGAAUGUUAAAUACUUGCCUUGUUGGUUUAGUAAAGUUUAUUAUUUGUAUUUCUAUAAAAAACAAAUUUUUCUUCACUUAAAAAAAAACUUUUAAAAUGUGUAAAAAUAGAAUGAAGCCUGUGAAAACGUCUCCAUGUCAGACUGUGAAGACACCGUCCACGCCGUCGCUGGGCGGAGCCUGGUCUCGUGGUCCUGCAUGGAAACCGAGGCGUCCGUCAGAGAGAUGAAGCUACAGCCUUUAACACAACAAAUGUGCAUCGUAGUAUAGUUUUGGAUUUGGACUGCUACACUCAGAUACUAACAGACAGAAACAAAGAGAAGCUGUCUUCUCUGAAGAUGGUCUGCCUGGACUGGUGAUGACACCAGAACGUCCAAACCUUUGAGACUGACUCUCCCAGAGAAAAACAGGGAUAUAAAUUCUGCUGUUAGGACACGCCCCCUUCUCUAACUCUACAGGCCUGGCCAGAGGACCAGAGACGGUUGCCAUGGUGAUGUGAGAAGCGACGUGUCCAUGUAGGGAGAUGUGGGAAAGGUGCAGGAGAUGAAACGUGAGCCGUACAUGGGUCUAAAGGCUUUCCUCCUGCUGCUGAGCGAUCACGUUAACAUUCAGUUUU
Long non-coding RNA from Oreochromis aureus, 1710 nucleotides. RefSeq lists it as uncharacterized. NCBI's taxonomy places the organism in Eukaryota, Metazoa, Chordata, Actinopteri, Cichliformes, Cichlidae. The record is from RefSeq and is a predicted model, not a curated record. The transcript is spliced from 3 exons.